This 468-nucleotide ribosomal RNA is filed under the name uncultured bacterium. RNAcentral's name for it is "partial 16S ribosomal RNA". It matches the Rfam family "Bacterial small subunit ribosomal RNA", at positions 28 to 507 of the family's 1533-position model. The record is from RNAcentral.
GACGAACGCUGGCGGCGUGCUUAACACAUGCAAGUCGAACGGAAAGGCCCUGCUUUUGUGGGGUGCUCGAGUGGCGAACGGGUGAGUAACACGUGAGUAACCUGCCCUUGACUUUGGGAUAACUUCAGGAAACUGGGGCUAAUACCGGAUAGGAGCUCCUGCUGCAUGGUGUGGGUUGGAAAGUUUCGGCGGUUGGGGAUGGACUCGCGGCUUAUCAGCUUGUUGGUGGGGUAGUGGCUUACCAAGGCUUUGACGGGUAGCCGGCCUGAGAGGGUGACCGGCCACAUUGGGACUGAGAUACGGCCCAGACUCCUACGGGAGGCAGCAGUGGGGAAUAGUGCACAAGGGGCGGAAGCCUGAUGCAGCAACGCCGCGUGCGGUAUGACGGCCUUCGGGUUGUAAACCGCUUUCGCCUUUGACGAAGCGUGAGUGACGGUAAUGGGUAAAGAAGCACCGGCUAACUACGUG